UAAUGCGAGCACCCUUGGAAUGACUCUUUUGGAAUUUUGGAGUUCGAGAAUCUAGAAAGUGUGAGUCAACGUGUUCAAAGUAUGAAGGAGAGCUUCUCGCGGAGUUGUUACUUUGUGCCGGUUUGAACUUUUUAGGGGGCACCCUUAGUUAUAACCGGUUCCGAUUAUGUGUCCUUGAUUUGUGAAAAUCCAAUGUCAUUUGGUCCAUUCACAUUCUGUAGUUCAAUGCUUUGAUCUUUCCUAUGAUUUGGUAUUAAUAUUUCGAUGUAUAGUAACAAUAUUUCUAUGUAUAAUAAUAAUUAUGCCGCUUCUUCCUUACAUUGUUGACUUUUUGGUUUGCGAAGACCUGGAUUUCUGCCACUACCUCAGCCACCAAGCCUGUGUUGACUUUUUGGUUUGCAAAGACCAGGAUUUCUACUGCACUGACUUCUGCUCAAAUCACAACCAUUCACUUGUAGUUUUUCCUUCAUAAAAUUAUUUCUUUUCAAAAAACUUUUAGUAAACUUUCAGCCGUUGGAUUAGCAGCAUGAGGGACCGCUGCACACAUAUGCAGGAGGUGAUCUAUUUCCCAAAAACAGUCUUUCAAAGUUCACUCAUACAUUUCUGGCUGCUGCAACACAAGUGAGUUCAAAUUUAAUUUCAUCUGAUCUUUUUCAUAGUUCAUCUGCUUAACAUAACUAUCUUCCAUAAUUUUAUGACUUUACAGCGACGAUUGUGUAUAACUUUAUAUGUUUCAUUUUAUUAAAGUAUACGAAGUUGAAACUAUUCUGAGUUUAUUAAGGCAUGGCUGAAUAUUUGGCUACGUUGAUGUUAGACGAGGUUAAUGGAAUAAUAGAUGUAUUUCGGGCUGGAAGUGUCUUUGACAAUGUCGUAAGAGAUAAGAAUAAGCUGGUUGGAAAUCGAGAUCUUGUGCAGCAAAAAGUUGAAACUACUGAUCUUAAAACUGAUAAGGUGAAUGAUGUUGUGAUUGAAUGGCUAAAACAAAGUAACAUACUGAUACAAGAGGUGGAGAAUCCCAAAAUAAAACCAAGACCAACAUCAUGGCGCGAAUAUAGGGAAAUGAGGAAUGAACAGGCGAUUAUAUAUUUCAAUGAGUUGCUGACAAAAAUAACUGCACUGAAUAUGGAAUGUGAGUUUGACCAAGUUUCAACUCGAAUUCCAACUUUAGAGAACUUUUCUAAGGGAAAUAUUAUGUGUUUUAACUCUACAGAUGAGGCUUCAGAUGAACUUUUCCGAGCACUGCAAGAUGAUAGUUGCUUUAUAGUUGGAUUGUACGGUAGGCGCGGUUCUGGUAAAACUGCAUUGGUGAAAGCAAUGAGUGAGAAAGUUAAAUAUUUAAACAUUUUCUCAGAGGUUUUAUUUGCUACUGCAACCCAAAACACGAAUAUCAGAACAAUGCAAGAUGAAAUUGCGGAUUGGUUGAAUAUGAAGUUUGAUAGGAACAGUGAAACUGGAAGGGCGAGAAAAAUAUUCUCCACAAUAGAAAGUAUGGAGCAUCCAAUUCUUGUGAUUUUUGAUGAUGUUCGGGAAAAAUUUGAUCCGGAGGAUAUAGGCAUUCCUUGUAAUAGUAAACGAUGUAAGGUCCUUUUGACCACACGUCGCCAACAAGAUUGUGACAUGAUGGAGUGUCAAAGGAAGAUUCAUCUAGGUCCUUUAUCUACCGAGGAAGCUUGGACUUUGUUUCAAAAACAUUCAGGUGUUUGUGAAGAUAAUUCUUCCUCCUCAAUUGACUUAUUGAAUGUGGCACGAGAAGUUGCUUUUGAAUGUGAAGGGUUACCUGGUAUAAUAAAAGAUGUGGGAUCUUCUUUAAAAAGUAAACCAAUUGAGGAAUGGAAAGCAUCUCUAGAAAUUAUGAGACAUUCAAUGGCUCAAUGGCAGAUGUUCCUCAGUUUUAGAGGGGGAGAUACUCGCUUUUCUUUUACAGGUUUUCUUUAUCAGGCUUUAUGCCAAGCGGGAUUCAAGACCUUCAUGGAUGACGGAGGACUGCACACUGGUGAUAAAAUUUCACCCUGUCUUCUAAAUGCAAUCGAAGCAUCAAGGCUUUCAAUUGUUGUUUUAUCUGAGAACUAUGCAAGUUCCUCAUGGUGUCUUGAUGAACUUGUCAAGAUUCUUGAAUGUAUGAAAAUGAAAAAUCAACUAGUCUGGCCAAUCUUUUACAACGUCGAGCCAUCAGACAUAAGGUAUUUGAGAAAAUGUUACGGCAAAGACAUGGCUCAACAUGAAAGUGUAUUUGGAACAGACUCCGAGAGAGUACAGAAAUGGAAGUCGGCUUUGUUUGAAGUGUCUAACUUGUCUGGAAAGACUUAUAAAACCGGGUACGAGUAUGAAUUUAUCCAAAAGAUUCUGGAAGAUGCGAAUCAUAUUAAAAGUCGUCUGCAAAUACGAGGCGUAUAAAUAUGAGUAAGGCCAAUUAGGAAAUAGUAAAAACAAGUACAAAAAGAAUUACUUCGGAGAAAUAAGUAAAGCAGCUGCCAGUAGAGAGGAGGAAUGGUCUUCCAAUUCUUCCCGCUGUUUUUGUCAAUCAUUUCUUCCAUCUAUGUAAGGUUCAAAGAACUGUUUGAUCAAGUAACACAUGUCCACUGUGAUGACUAAAUAUAAAUGUUUUGCUUCUAUAAAAAAAACUUCAAACAAACUCACAAAUACCAACUUCAACACCCACCCUCACGCCUAGCAUGGGCAUGGGCCAAACGCCCACAUUGUAGUCCUUAACCCGGCUCUGAUACCAUGUUAAAUAUGCUUGGAUCUCAACCCCAAAAGCUAGCUCAAGAGGUGAGGUUGUCCUCACAUAUUUAUACACCCAACAGUCCGAGAACCUAAGCAAUGUGAGACUUCAAACAAACUCUCAAAUACCAACUUUAACAAGAUAGAUAUUAAAGUUGCUGUGAUGUAUUUCAAGUUCUUUUAAAGUUGGUAAGCAAACUGUUGAGGGACCCUUUCAAGCAUUUUAUGAAAGAAAGCAUUGUUUCUUCCAUGAUUCGUAACCGUCGCCUUUCUUGUUCAGCUUCCAGUUUCAGCUCUAUUAGUCUUUCUCUUUCCCUCUCAGAUUCUAAGUUUGUUUCCAACUCGCUCACCCUUUCCCAUAUCUGAGGGUCACUAACACCACUGCCAAUAGCAGCUGGAAAAGUACUAGUUGAUCCCGAUCCUAAUCCUUUUUCCCAAUCACCCCAAUUGUUGUGAAUGUAUGAAGGAAGAUGGAUACUAAUCCUUUUUAGCCAACAGUGUUAUUGUCAUGUUGGUGAUGUUUUCAUAAUAUUACACAAAACACUAGUACCAUUGUUUUGCAGCUUGCAGUUUGAAAAUACCUUCUACCAUAGAAUUUUAAAUGGCAAGACAAUACAAAAUUAGGACUGGUUCUUCUGCUUAUCAGGGAGUACUACUCUCUCCUGCCUUUAAAUUUACAAUCAGUAAGUUUUAGAUCACCGGAAUUAUUAGUUAAUAUACAGCCCUUAAGGAAAGUAAAAUAUUUUCCUAUGAACCUCAAAAGUUUUCUCAGGACUCAAUAAUAUAUUUAUAUUAUUAAUGAUGACAUCAAAGUUUUUUUAUGCAAUCUGGAAAUGGGACCUUUCUGCUUAUCUGAACUGAUCAGAGUCCUGUAUAUAAGGUUGGUUGACAAGUGAGGAGAUUCUCUGUAUUCUAUCUCUUUCAAAUUUGGUAACCUUGGAUGAAUGAAGGUGUAAUGGUUAAAAGGGAUAACAUGACAAUAGAAUUUAAUAAACCAGCAUUCUUUGGAUAGGACAGCAAAACCAAAAGUUGAUUAUUAAGCAUCACGUGAAAAGGGCUGUAAAAAAAAACUUGUCUUGAAGUACAGUCAACAAAUGAAAUCAUGUUUUUAUAAUGAAACUUGUCUUGUAAAAAAAAACUUGUCUUGAAGUAUCAUACCAAUUUAUAGAUAUGUGAAGAAAACCGAGUUCUAAUACAGAAAUAUGUGUCUUGCAAAUUCCAUCAUGUAAAAUCUCUUUCUUUCCUGUUCUUUUCAAGCAUUGGUUUCUACAUGUUAACAAUCAACUCAUUUUAAAUCAUCACGCAGCUGGAUUGUCCCCUCUCGGCCGAGGUUACUGAAAUCUUCAAAGUUCAAGCUUGAUGCUUGCAAUGUCUCUUGGUUGGUUGCUGUUAAUAUUUGGAUUUCAGCAACUUCUUCAAAAUGUCCAACUUCAAUCAAAAGAAGAAAUCAAGGGCCUCCUCAACUAGGGAGGAGUUUGCUGAGUCUCUCAUCUUUACACCGCCUUUGAUCUCCAACCAUAGACUCAAACAUAUCCAAAAGAUUAUCCAAACCCUUGUAAUCCUCCCCAAUUGCCUUCAAAGCAAACACAAUGCUCUCAAUGGUCGACAACUAACCAGCUUUAGGCUGAUUCCUCACAUCACCAUAUAAACUCAUCUCAUUCACUUCCAACUUCAAAUGCGGCAAUACAUUCAGCCAAGGAUUUUCACUAUAAAUCCUUUUAGCCUUAGCCCAAGUUCCAUCAAGAACAAUCAAGUUCUUCACCUCAAGACCAACAUCAUCCAAGUGACUAACACUAACAGCAUUAUCAGAAGGAAAAAGUAGCACUGAUCCAGAACAAACCUCAAGCUCAAAUUCCAUCAAGGUAUCUUGGCCGAGAUUCUUGAUUUUGUAAUGGAGAAAGGGCUUAUCCAAGCUGAUGGAGAAAUAUGGCAAGUUAGACAGCAUGCUAUACUACCUCAGCCAUUAUACAAAUCCAAAUCCAAGUUGACUUUUUGGUUUGCAAAUUCACCUGUAGUUUUUCUCUCUCAUAACAUUAUUUAUUUUCUAAAAAAUAUUUUGUAAACUUUCAGCCGUUGAAUUAGCAGCAUGAGGAACCGCUGCACAUAUCUGCAGGAGGUGAUCUACUUCCCAAAAACAGUCUUUCAAAGUUGACUUAUACAUUUCUGGCUCCUGCAACACAACGACGAGUGUGUAUAACUUUAUAUGUUUCAUU
RNA transcript from Vicia villosa (hairy vetch), 4934 nucleotides. RefSeq lists it as uncharacterized. The transcript is spliced from 4 exons. The record is from RefSeq and is a predicted model, not a curated record. NCBI's taxonomy places the organism in Eukaryota, Viridiplantae, Streptophyta, Magnoliopsida, Fabales, Fabaceae.